AGGUUUACCUGAUCGAGAACAUUGCAGAGCUUCUUGGAAUUUAAAACUAUUUUUAAAUUCCUUAGCCAGUCUUUAUAAUUAGUUUCAGUUAAGGAUUGUGUGUCGAGAACACGAGAGAGAUAAUUGGAAGCAGACAUUUACUUUGUAGGGAGUAAAGAUUCAAGUUAGAUAUUUUCAUUUGUUUUGAAAAUUUAUUUUAGGGAUU
This 205-nucleotide long non-coding RNA is filed under the name Ananas comosus (pineapple). Its description in RNAcentral is "long non-coding RNA (ACOM_LNC001061)". Lineage: Eukaryota; Viridiplantae; Streptophyta; Magnoliopsida; Poales; Bromeliaceae. The record is from RNAcentral.